CAAAUUACUUUGUUUUCUUCUUUUCUUCCCAUCUUCUUCAUUACCUUCGGAGAACACCCAUGAUCCAUGAUCUCCGAUGCCAUACGCGCGACCUAGUUCACCAUCACCGCCGUAUCUCUUCAGAUACUUCUUGAUCGGUGUCGGAUUCACCGCCAAUUUAGUGCGACUAGCUCCUUCAACCUCCUCAACACCUAUGUGCACGAGACCCUCACUGCCCUCACCGGCCUUUCCCAGUCUUCGUAUGUUCCCAUCUUCUUCCUUCCUUUACAAUUGCUGCGUUCUCACUCACCCACUCUCUUUCUUCAUAAUUACUCUCUCUUGCUCAACCAGUGGUCUUUGCAUCCUAAAUGUGGAGUCGAAGCUUCUUAUGUUGGCAGUUUCAUUCAUCUGCAUUUUAUACUAACAGAGGUGGUUGCUGUCAACUUAUGAGAUAGAUGCUCAGAUUGGCAGUAGAGCGCACCCUUGCAAUGAUCAACCCAACAUUAUCGUGUAAUUUGAGUAGGAAGAUGUAAAAAGAGAUCAAUUAGUCCUUGCCAAUGGUGGAUCGCCAGUCGCUUGCACACCCGUGGCCAGCAAACCAAAAGCGUCCAUUAUGGGGUUAUAAGAUUAUCGGGACAUUCUGUCAUUUAGUUGUGGGGAGUAGUCCAUCACGGUCUUGGUCUAUUUAUAGUUACAUAUGGGGUCAUCCUUGAAUGUAUGUUACCGGAAGGAAUAAUAUGGGGUUAUAUAAUUGCCUAGAUAGACAGUAUAUAGGCUGGAGUUCCCAACUGAGUUUCACUGAUUCAGAUAGGAGCUCAAUGUCGGUUUGUACAAUUUUAAGUUUCUUUGUAUCCAAGUUUUGCUUUCUCUGGCAAUAACAUAUUUGAUUGUU
This is a long non-coding RNA of Eucalyptus grandis, 871 nucleotides long. RefSeq lists it as uncharacterized. The transcript is spliced from 2 exons. The record is from RefSeq and is a predicted model, not a curated record. Lineage: Eukaryota; Viridiplantae; Streptophyta; Magnoliopsida; Myrtales; Myrtaceae.